This 273-nucleotide ribosomal RNA is filed under the name Triticum aestivum (bread wheat). RNAcentral's name for it is "partial small subunit ribosomal RNA". The record is from RNAcentral. Lineage: Eukaryota; Viridiplantae; Streptophyta; Magnoliopsida; Poales; Poaceae.
AUGUACCCCGCAGCUUGGCCAGUUGUUGAAAAGGAGACUACAGAAACAUGGAAAUGGUUCAUUGGGUUGCUAAUUAAGGAUUUAGAUAUAAAUGAUCAAGGAGCUAGGUGGGUUUUCAUAUCUGACCAACAAAAGGUAAACAUUGUUGUUGUAUGCUUUGUUAUUUGUUGCUCCUGCAAUUGUUAUAUUUGUUGUUGUUGCAACUAUUAUAUUUGUUAUGUGCUGCAAAAUUGUUAUAUUUGUUGUUGUAUGCUAUGUUAUUUGUUAGGAUAG